This 382-nucleotide ribosomal RNA is filed under the name uncultured eukaryote. RNAcentral describes it as "partial 18S ribosomal RNA". It matches the Rfam family "Eukaryotic small subunit ribosomal RNA", at positions 592 to 976 of the family's 1831-position model. The record is from RNAcentral.
UGUAAGCGUAUACCAAAGUUGUUGCAGUUAAAACGCUCGUAGUCGGAAUUUGGCAGUUCCGGAUGUGUGCACGUCGUGUGCGCACUUCGCGGGGAUUGCUUUUGUGGUCUUGCGUAGGAUGAGGCACUUUUAUUAGUGAACGUCCUCACGCAACCACUUUUUACUGUGAGAAAAUCAGAGUGCUCAAAGCAGGCAUUUGCCGUGAAUGUAUUAGCAUGGAAUGAUAGAAUAGGACUUGGUUCUAUUUUGUUGGUUUGUUGGGACUGAGUAAUGAUUAAGAGGGACAGUUGGGGGCAUUUGUAUUUCGGCGCUAGAGGUGAAAUUCUUAGAUUGCCGAAAGACAAACUGCUGCGAAAGCGUCUGCCAAGGAUGUUUUCACUGA